ACUGAUUAAACAAGAGACAUCAAUGAAAGUAUAACAAGAUUUUAUAUAAAUUUACUCCAAGAUCAAUGAGUGAUAAAUAUAAGCUUCCAAGGAAAACACUUCGCAGAAGAUCUCUGUCAGCUGAGCCAUCUGGAGAGAGUUCAACAGAUGAUGAAGCAAACAAAGUUGAGAGAAAAGUCCCCUACAAAGCUCUUCUCAUAAGACCUCGGCCAUUUGAACCAUUUGAUGAGGAUGAUUCAACGGACAGUGAUGCAACGGAUAGUGAUGCAACGGACAGUGAUGUAACAAGUCCAGAGGGGUUGAAAGUGAGUCCAAAGAAGAGCAAUGAUGCAAUAAACGAGCGGUCGAACAAGAAGAGAAGACUGCAUAGGAGGAAGAUGUAUACCCCUCGAAGAUUUAUUUCCCCAGAGGCAGAAGUUAACCAGACUGAUGCAAAUCCGUGCAACAGUGGGAGAUCAGAGAAGGCCCAUUCUGAUCAACGUGUCACCCCAGA
Molecule: long non-coding RNA, 493 nt
Organism: Brassica oleracea var. oleracea
Lineage: Eukaryota; Viridiplantae; Streptophyta; Magnoliopsida; Brassicales; Brassicaceae
Exons: 3
Source: RefSeq, a predicted model, not a curated record